CUUGACUUUGACUUGGUCUUCAUGACUUGAGACUUGACUUAGACUUGAGACAGAUGACUCGAAAUGACUUUUCUAAAGUUAGAUUAUAGGUUAGAUAUGUGAUUUGCGAUACGCCAGCAGAUUUUGAAAAGACGCAACUCAAAUGGUCCUACCCCCUCUCCUUCAACGCUGACUCUGACUCCACCCAUUCCAAGUACAUGGACGCGCAAUCACACAAGAGCGCGAACACAGAUGCGCGAGAGUGGGCCAGGGCAGGCUAGCUAGGUUGGAGUUUAGGGUUGUAUUCUAGCGCUAGGUCCAAAUGUGGAUUAGCUAGUAAACUAGCUCCAGUAGCUACCGCAGGAUAACAACAAACAGAAGCUUGCUCUGGGUCACGAGCUUUGAGUACGUGCACGUGCACGAAGAGGUCACGCGCGGGGGGAGGGGGAGUGCAGUACGACCGUUUGAUUGACGUACUCAGGGCUGUAGUGGAGGGUAAACGCACGUAAACGCCGUUUACGCACCUCUGGAAUUUAGGAAAUAGCGUUUACGCACCUCUAAAUAGCGUUUACGCACCUCAAAGUUCCCUGUGCCUUGUAUUCUGCCGUUGGAAUAAUCAGAAAUAAAUUCAGCAUCAUUUUAAAACACCUAAGACAAGGUUUCAUAUUGUUGAACAAAUAAACGCUGUAAUCUGAAUCAUUUUCAUCUGCGCUGGCCUAUGCUAUUAUGGUCUGUGACCCUCCAAUCAGUGCCUUGCGGCUGCGGCAGCGACACCAAUCAGGAUCCAGGAAAAUAUGUAAACAGGAAGUAUGUAAACACAUGGCCCUGCGCGUUGUGGAUUAUCAUACCUGUCAUUAAUUAGCCAUGGAUAUCAGGCGAUUUUUGAAGAGACCUUCGAGUGCUCCCACUCCAACAGAUGACCGAAAAAGGCCUCAAGUACAAAGGGGAGAAAGAUGGUGGAACUGGCAUUAAAGAGAAAGUAUCCCGAGUAUGCUGCACAGGGUAUUCCACCAAAGAGGAGUCGAGACUGCAUGGAAGAAACAUGGGUGAUCCCAGACACUUUGUUGGACACCAGCUUUGACCUGGACACCAGCUUCGACCUGUCCGAUGAUGGCUCAUACUACGUCCCAACCCCAUACUCUUCCCCGACACAGACUGAACUGGAACCAACUUCAAGCCAUUCCCCGACUGAACUGGAACCAACCCCAAGCCAUUCCCCGACUGAACUGGAACCAACCCCAAGCCAUUCCCCGACUGAAGAGGAACCAACCGCAAGCCAUUCUCCGACUGCAUUGGAACCAACCCCAAGCCACUCCCCGACUGAACUGGAACCAACCCCAAGCCAUUCCCCGACUGAAGUGGAACUGACACAGACUGAAGUGGAACCAACUGAGGAGGAAAGGCCGCAACCACGCCCACCAAUGAGGGGCCCAUGUGGUUCCCAGUGUCAUAGGAAGUGCACUGACCACAUGUCAGAUGACAGGCGGAAGGAGAUAUGGAGGCAGUUUUGGGACAUGACGUACACAGAGCGGCGAACCUGGAUGUUCCACUCAGUCACCUCACUGGAGACGAAGAGAGUUUGUGCUGCAGGCAGUCGACGUGGCCGGACGUUCAGCUACAGGCUACAAGACCAGAGAGGAGAGCCAAGACGUGUCUGCAAGAUGUUCUUCUUGUCAACGCUGGGCUACCACCCAAAAAAUGACAGUCUGGUGAUGACCAUGAUGGGCAAUGCAAGCAGCAAGCCACUCGCUCCACCUCAGGACCAGAGAGGAAGGCAGGCCGCUGCAAACAAACUCGAUCAAAAAUUAUUACUGGACCACAUAGAGUCGUUCCACCCUACAGUUAGCCACUAUAGGCGUGAACAUGCCCCACAUCGACGGUACCUUCCUAGUGACAUCACCAUGAAAAUGAUGCAUGCUGAUUAUGUGGAGAAAGGGCACACCUGUUCGUAUGAGGCGUACAGGAAGGCUGUCAGGCAAAAAAAAAUAAGUUUCACAAAACUUGGAGAGGAGGAGUGUGAGACUUGCUUGCAGCAUGCUGAACAUGAAAAAUCACACACAGAGGAGAUGGUGGAUUGCCCAGAGUGUCUAAGGUGGCAAAAGCACAAGCAGUCUGCCCUGCAGAGUCGGCUGAGGUACAAGGAGGAUGCAGAGACCAGCAGCUGGCCCGAUGGCACCUCAGUCCGGAGUGCAGACCUCCAAAAAGUGAUAAUGCUGCCACGUAUGCCUGGAGUAAAAUCUUGUGUUUUUACGCGACGUGUUGUGGCAUACCACGAGACAUUUGCCUCUGUGGGGAAGGGGAAAAACAAGAAGAACACCAUCUCUGUCUUGUGGCAUGAGGGAAUAGCAGGGCGAAGCGCUGCAGAAAUCACAUCUGCAUACAUGGCAGCAUUGGAGAAAGAGAGGGAUGCACGCCACAUAAUUCUCUGGGUGGACAACUGCAGUGCGCAAAAUAAGAAUUGGUGCUUGCUCUCCUCACUCGUCACCCUAGUCAGUGGCACAACUUCACUGGAAGACAUCACCCUAAAAUACUUCGAGCCGGGGCACACUUUCAUGAGCGCUGUCAGUUUCCACCAUGGUGUCGAGCAGCAAAUUAGGAAGUGUCCAGGUGGUGUUGUGUACGACUUCGAGGACUUUGUGAAUGUUGUGGCGAGCUCCAAUUCAAAGAAAGUGGAUGUUGUCCUGAUGCAGGAUGCCAAUGUGCUGGAUUGGAAAGAUGGCCAUUCCACUACCAAGGUCAAGAAGGCAAAAGCACCAAAGCUUGGGGAGAUGGCAGAAAUUCAAGUGCGGCGAGGCUCCAAGAGUCUUUUUUACAAGCGGUCACAUGUUGAGACAGAAUUCACAGAAAUGGACUUCCUAUUAAAAAAAUUCAUCCCAACCAUGCCCACUCUUUUGCGACCACAGGACAGGGGAGUUGACGAGAUCAAAAAGAGGGACUUAAUUAACAAACUUUGUCCACUCAUGCCCCCAAACAGAAGGGGGUUCUGGCAUUCCCUGCCUGUACUGAAGGAUGUCCUGGAGGAGUAAUGAAAUUAAUGUAUUGUGUAUUGUUUGUACCGAGUGUGUUGUUCUUUCAUUAUCCCCCGAUUUCUAACAGUUGUAUAUAUAAUUAUAACUAUUUAUCAAAUGAAUAACAAAUAAGCUGAUUUACUCAUUUCUAUGUAUUCAUGCAUCACUCAUGCUUCAUUCAGCAAUGUUUUAAUCUUCC
Molecule: long non-coding RNA, 3186 nt
Filed under: Gadus morhua (Atlantic cod)
Lineage: Eukaryota; Metazoa; Chordata; Actinopteri; Gadiformes; Gadidae
Description: lncRNA (ENSGMOG00000023201.1)
Source: RNAcentral